UAGGGAAUCUUCGGCAAUGGACGAAAGUCUGACCGAGCAACGCCGCGUGAGUGAAGAAGGUUUUCGGAUCGUAAAACUCUGUUGUUAGAGAAGAACAAGGACGUUAGUAACUGAACGUCCCCUGACGGUAUCUAACCAGAAAGCCACGGCUAACUACGUGCCAGCAGCCGCGGUAAUACGUAGGUGGCAAGCGUUGUCCGGAUUUAUUGGGCGUAAAGCGAGCGCAGGCGGUUUCUUAAGUCUGAUGUGAAAGCCCCCGGCUCAACCGGGGAGGGUCAUUGGAAACUGGGAGACUUGAGUGCAGAAGAGGAGAGUGGAAUUCCAUGGGUAGCGGUGAAAUGCGUAGAUAUAGGGAGGAACACCAGUGGCGAAGGCGGCUCUCUGGUCUGUAACUGACGCUGAGGCUCGAAAGCGUGGGGAGCAAACAGG
Molecule: ribosomal RNA, 429 nt
Filed under: Gemmatimonadota bacterium
Lineage: Bacteria; Pseudomonadati; Gemmatimonadota
Description: Gemmatimonadetes bacterium partial 16S ribosomal RNA
Rfam family: Bacterial small subunit ribosomal RNA
Source: RNAcentral